Molecule: ribosomal RNA, 118 nt
Organism: Strongyloides venezuelensis
Lineage: Eukaryota; Metazoa; Nematoda; Chromadorea; Rhabditida; Strongyloididae
Source: Rfam
UCAUACGUUCAUAUCCUGCUGAAUGCACCGAUCCCGUCAGAUUACCAAAGUGAAUCGACUACAAGCUAUCUUAGUACUUGGAUGGGAGACUUCCUGGGAACCGUUAGUGGCGUAAGUC